RNAcentral lists this ribosomal RNA (459 nucleotides) under uncultured bacterium. RNAcentral's name for it is "partial 16S ribosomal RNA". It matches the Rfam family "Bacterial small subunit ribosomal RNA", at positions 338 to 795 of the family's 1533-position model. The record is from RNAcentral.
CCUACGGGGGGCAGCAGUGAGGAAUAUUGGUCAAUGGUCGGGAGACUGAUCCAGCAAAGCCGCGUGAGGGAGGAAGGUACAGAGUAUCGUAAACCUCUUUUGUCAGGGAACAAAGGCGGGGACGUGUCCCCGGAUUAGUGUACCUUAAUAACAAGCAUCGACUAACUCCGUGCCAGCAGCCGCGUUAAUACGGAGGAUGCGAGCGGUAUCCGGAUUUAUUGGGGUUAAAGGGUGCGCAGGCGGUCUGUUAACUCAGCGGUCAAAGCCCGGGGCUCAACCCCGGCCCGCAGUUGAAACUGGCAGUCUCGAGUGGGAGAGAAGGAUGCGGAAUGCGAGGUGUAGCGGUGAAAUGCAUAGAUAUCGGGCAGAACACCGAUUGCGAAGGCAGCAUGCCGGCUCCACACUGACGCUGAGGCACGAAAGCGUGGGUAUCGAACAGGAUUAGAUACCCUAGUAGUC